RNAcentral lists this ribosomal RNA (465 nucleotides) under uncultured bacterium. RNAcentral's name for it is "partial 16S ribosomal RNA". It matches the Rfam family "Bacterial small subunit ribosomal RNA", at positions 28 to 507 of the family's 1533-position model. The record is from RNAcentral.
GACGAACGCUGGCGGCGUGCUUAACACAUGCAAGUCGAACGGAAAGGCCCCCUUGUGGGGUACUCGAGUGGCGAACGGGUGAGUAACACGUGAGUAACCUACCCUUGACUUUGGGAUAACUUCAGGAAACUGGGGCUAAUACCGGAUAGGAGCUCCUGCUGCAUGGUGGGGGUUGGAAAGUUUCGGCGGUUGGGGAUGGGCUCGCGGCUUAUCAGCUUGUUGGUGGGGUAGUGGCUCACCAAGGCUUUGACGGGUAGCCGGCCUGAGAGGGUGACCGGCCACAUUGGGACUGAGAUACGGCCCAGACUCCUACGGGAGGCAGCAGUGGGGAAUAUUGCACAAUGGGCGGAAGCCUGAUGCAGCAGCGCCGCGUGCGGGAUGACGGCCUUCGGGUUGUAAACCGCUUUCGCCUGUGACGAAGCGUGAGUGACGGUAAUGGGUAAAGAAGCACCGGCUAACUACGUG